GUUGAAUAGCUCAGUCAGUAGAGCAUGAGACUCUUCAUUUCAGGGUCUUGGCUUCGAGCACCACCUUGGGCA
Molecule: non-coding RNA, 72 nt
Organism: Podarcis lilfordi (Lilford's wall lizard)
Lineage: Eukaryota; Metazoa; Chordata; Lepidosauria; Squamata; Lacertidae
Source: the annotation of a GenBank genome assembly